Molecule: ribosomal RNA, 253 nt
Filed under: uncultured bacterium
Lineage: Bacteria
Description: partial 16S ribosomal RNA
Rfam family: Bacterial small subunit ribosomal RNA
Source: RNAcentral
UACGUAGGUGGCAAGCGUUAUCCGGAUUUAUUGGGCGUAAAGGGAACGCAGGCGGUCUUUUAAGUCUGAUGUGAAAGCCUUCGGCUUAACCGGAGUAGUGCAUUGGAAACUGGGAGACUUGAGUGCAGAAGAGGAGAGUGGAACUCCAUGUGUAGCUGUGAAAUGCGUAGAUAUAUGGAAGAACACCAGUGGCGAAAGCGGCUCUCUGGUCUGUAACUGACGCUGAGGUUCGAAAGCGUGGGUAGCAAACAGG